GUAGGUGACGUGCCCUUGGGGCCAGAAUAGCUACGGGAAACUGUAGGUAAUGCUGGAUAACCUCCCGAUUUUUGAAGAUAACGGGAGCAAUGGGUGUGAUUCCACCCAUGGAGCGGCCUGCGUGGUAUUAGCUAGUUGGUGAGGUAAUGGCUCACCAAGGCUCAGAUGCCUAGGGGGUGUGAGAGCAUGGCCCCCACCACUGGGACUGAGAUACUGCCCAGACACCUACGGGUGGCUGCAGUCGAGAAUCUUCGGCAAUGGACGAAAGUCUGACCGAGCGACGCCGCGUGCGGGAUGAAGGCCCUCGGGUUGUAAACCGCUGUCAGAGGGGAUGAAAUGCGUAUAGGUUAUCCUUUACGCUUGACAGAGCCUCAGAGGAAGCACGGGCUAAGUACGUGCCAGCAGCCGCGGUGAUACGUACUGUGCGAACGUUAUUCGGAAUUACUGGGCUUAAAGGGUGUGUAGGCGGCUGAUUAAGUAGGGUGUGAAAGGCUCCGGCCUAACCGGAGCAUUGCGCUCUAAACUGAUCGGCUU
This 534-nucleotide ribosomal RNA is filed under the name uncultured Planctomycetota bacterium. RNAcentral describes it as "bacterial SSU rRNA". It matches the Rfam family "Bacterial small subunit ribosomal RNA", at positions 117 to 643 of the family's 1533-position model. Lineage: Bacteria; Pseudomonadati; Planctomycetota. The record is from RNAcentral.